RNAcentral lists this ribosomal RNA (253 nucleotides) under uncultured bacterium. RNAcentral describes it as "partial 16S ribosomal RNA". It matches the Rfam family "Bacterial small subunit ribosomal RNA", at positions 524 to 776 of the family's 1533-position model. The record is from RNAcentral.
CACGUAGGGCGCAAGCGUUGUCCGGAAUUAUUGGGCGUAAAGAGCUCGUAGGCGGUCUGUUACGUCUGCUGUGAAAACCCAGGGCUUAACCCUGGGCUUGCAGUGGAUACGGGCAGACUAGAGGCAGGUAGGGGAGAAUGGAAUUCCCGGUGUAGCGGUGGAAUGCGUAGAGAUCGGGAAGAACAUCAGUGGCGAAGGCGGCCUGCUGGGCUGUUGCUGACGCUGAGGCGCGACAGCGUGGGGAGCAAACAGG